RNAcentral lists this ribosomal RNA (407 nucleotides) under uncultured bacterium. RNAcentral's name for it is "partial 16S ribosomal RNA". It matches the Rfam family "Bacterial small subunit ribosomal RNA", at positions 30 to 526 of the family's 1533-position model. The record is from RNAcentral.
AUUGAACGCUGGCGGCAGGCCUAACACAUGCAAGUCGAGCGGAGCGGCGGACGUGUGAGUAAUGCCUAGGACUCUGCCUGGUAGUGGGGGAUAACGUCCGGAAACGGGCGCUAAUACCGCAUACUAUCAGAUGAGCCUUGGUCGGAUUAGCUAGUUGGUUGGGUAAAGGCCUACCAAGGCGACGAUACGUAACUGGUCUGAGAGGAUGAUCAGACACACUGGAACAGAGACACGGUCCAGACUCCUAAGGGAGGCAGCAGAGGGGAAUAUUGGACAAUGGGCGAAAGCAAGAUACAGCCAUGCCGGGUGUGUGAAGAAGGGCUUCGGAUUGUAAAGCACUUUAAGUUGGGAGGCGGUACCAACAGAAUAAGCACCGGCUAACUUCGUGCCAGCAGCCGCGGUAAUAC